RNAcentral lists this non-coding RNA (30 nucleotides) under Mus musculus (house mouse). Lineage: Eukaryota; Metazoa; Chordata; Mammalia; Rodentia; Muridae. The record is from RNAcentral.
UNGCUGAAUUUGUGUAUAUUCUGGUGUAGU